RNAcentral lists this ribosomal RNA (494 nucleotides) under uncultured bacterium. RNAcentral's name for it is "partial 16S ribosomal RNA". It matches the Rfam family "Bacterial small subunit ribosomal RNA", at positions 28 to 507 of the family's 1533-position model. The record is from RNAcentral.
GACGAACGCUGGCGGCGUGCUUAACACAUGCAAGUCGAACGGAAAGGCCUGCUUUCCCUUGUGGAUUGCGGGUACUCGAGUGGCGAACGGGUGAGUAACACGUGAGUGAUCUGCCCCCAACUUGGGUAUAAGCCUGGGAAACUGGGUCUAAUUCCCGAUAGGACUGCAGGGUGGUGCCUGUGGUGGAAAACGAUUUUCUAGUGGUUGGGGAUGAGCUCGCGGCCUAUCGGCUUGUUGGUGGGGUAAUGGCCUACCAAGGCGGGGACGGGUAGCCGGCCUGAGAGGGUGGACGGCCACAUUGGGACUGAGAUACGGCCCAGACUCCUACGGGAGGCAGCAGUGGGGAAUAUGGCACAAUGGGCGGAAGCCUGAUGCAGCGACGCCGCGUGGGGGAUGACGGCCUUCGGGUUGUAAACUCCUUUCGACCGCGAGGAAGCCACCUGGUUGGAAGGGUGGUGACGGUAGUGGUAGAAGAAGCACCGGCUAACUACGUG